AAUGAACGUUGGCAGCGUGGAUUAGGCAUGCAAGUCGAGCGACAAGGUCCUUCGGGACGUGGAGGAGCGGCAAACGGGGUAGGUAAUACAUCGGAACGUACCUCACGUCUGGGAUAGCCACGGGAAACUGUGGGUAAUACUGGAUAAUCUCACCACUUGUGAAGAGUGGUGAGCAAAGGUCCGCCGCGUGAGGAGCGGCCGAUGCGAUACUAGAUAGUUGGUGGGGGUAAUGGCCUACCAAGUCUAAGAUGUCUAGGGGGUGUGAGAGCAUGGCCCCCACCACUGGGACUGAGACACUGCCCAGACACCUACGGGUGGCUGCAGUCGAGAAUCUUUGGCAAUGGGCGC
RNAcentral lists this ribosomal RNA (348 nucleotides) under uncultured bacterium. RNAcentral describes it as "bacterial SSU rRNA". It matches the Rfam family "Bacterial small subunit ribosomal RNA", at positions 29 to 378 of the family's 1533-position model. The record is from RNAcentral.